Molecule: transfer RNA, 74 nt
Filed under: Pseudomonadota bacterium
Lineage: Bacteria; Pseudomonadati; Pseudomonadota
Description: Proteobacteria bacterium (activated sludge metagenome) tRNA-Thr
Rfam family: tRNA
About the family: Transfer RNA (tRNA) molecules are approximately 80 nucleotides in length. Their secondary structure includes four short double-helical elements and three loops (D, anti-codon, and T loops).
Source: RNAcentral
GCUAAAGUAGCAUAAAUGGCCUAUGCACCCGAUUUGUAAUUGGGACCAUCUGGGUUCGAUUCCCAGCCUUAGCU